CCCUUAGAUGUUCUGGGCCGCACGCGCGCUACACUGACUGGAUCAACGAGUUGUCCACCUUGGCUGAAGAGUCCGGGUAAUCUUGUAAAAUCCAGUCGUGAUGGGGAUAGAUUAUUGCAAUUAUUAAUCUUCAACGAGGAAUUCCUAGUAAGGGUGGUUCAACAGACCGCCCUGAUUACGUCCCUGCCCCUUGUACACACCGCCCGUCGCACCUACCGAUUGAAUGGUCCGGUGAAGCCUCCGGAUUGGCGCGCACCUCGGUGCCGCCGAGAAGUUGGCUAAACCUUACCAUUUAGAGGAAGGUGAAGUCGUAACA
RNAcentral lists this ribosomal RNA (316 nucleotides) under uncultured eukaryote. Its description in RNAcentral is "partial 18S ribosomal RNA". It matches the Rfam family "Eukaryotic small subunit ribosomal RNA", at positions 1470 to 1796 of the family's 1831-position model. The record is from RNAcentral.